Molecule: transfer RNA, 97 nt
Filed under: Stutzerimonas frequens
Lineage: Bacteria; Pseudomonadati; Pseudomonadota; Gammaproteobacteria; Pseudomonadales; Pseudomonadaceae
Description: tRNA-Ala
Source: RNAcentral
AGGGCCCAGGCAGCUCCGGCAGCGGCGGCACCGCUGGCUCCGGUUCGGGCGCCGGCAACUGAGCCAUGGCGGCGGGAUCGUAUCCCGCGAGCCCGCC